GUCAUAUCUACAGGUAGGAUCAGUCAGGUAGUAGUGUAUAGUGAGUCAUAUCUACAGGUAGGGUCAGUCAGGUAGUAGUAUAUAGUGAGUCAUAUCUCCAGGUAGGGUCAGUCAGGUAGUAGUAUAUAGUGAGUCAUAUCUACAGGUAGGGUCAGUCAGGUAGUAGUAUAUAGUGAGUCAUAUCUACAGGUAGGGUCAGUCAGGUAGUAGUAUAUAGUGAGUCAUAUCUCCAGGUAGGGUCAGUCAGGUAGUAGUAUAUAGUGAGUCAUAUCUCCAGGUAGGGUCAGUCAGGUAGUAGUAUAUAGUGAGUCAUAUCUACAGGUAGGGUCAGUCAGGUAGUAGUAUAUAGUGAGUCAUAUCUACAGGUAGGAUCAGUCAGGUAGUAGUAUAUAGUGAGUCAUAUCUACAGGUAGGGUCAGUCAGGUAGUAGUAUAUAGUGAGUCAUAUCUACAGGUAGGAUCAGUCAGGUAGUAGUAUAUAGUGAGUCAUAUCUACAGGUAGGGUCAGUCAGGUAGUAGUAUAUAGUGAGUCAUAUCUACAGGUAGGAUCAGUCAGGUAGUAGUAUAUAGUGAGUCAUAUCUACAGGUAGGGUCAGUCAGGUAGUAGUAUAUAGUGAGUCAUAUCUACAGGUAGGAUCAGUCAGGUAGUAGUAUAUAGUGAGUCAUAUCUACAGGUAGGGUCAGUCAGGUAGUAGUAUAUAGUGAGUCAUAUCUACAGGUAGGGUCAGUCAGGUAGUAGUAUAUAG
Molecule: long non-coding RNA, 745 nt
Organism: Oncorhynchus keta (chum salmon)
Lineage: Eukaryota; Metazoa; Chordata; Actinopteri; Salmoniformes; Salmonidae
Exons: 3
Source: RefSeq, a predicted model, not a curated record